This 119-nucleotide ribosomal RNA is filed under the name Otolemur garnettii (small-eared galago). The record is from RNAcentral. Lineage: Eukaryota; Metazoa; Chordata; Mammalia; Primates; Galagidae.
CUAAGGCCAUACCACCCUGAAUGCACCUGGUCUCAUGUGAUUUCAAAAGCUAAGCAGUAUCAAGGCUAGUUAGUAUUUGGAUGGGAGAAAUUCUGAAGCAAAAGCAAUGACCACUUAUC